This 253-nucleotide ribosomal RNA is filed under the name uncultured bacterium. RNAcentral describes it as "partial 16S ribosomal RNA". It matches the Rfam family "Bacterial small subunit ribosomal RNA", at positions 524 to 776 of the family's 1533-position model. The record is from RNAcentral.
UACAGAGGGUGCGAGCGUUAAUCGGAAUUACUGGGCGUAAAGGGCGCGUAGGCGGCUAUUUAAGUUGGAUGUGAAAUCCCUGGGCUUAACCUAGGAACUGCAUACAAAACUGGGUAGCUAGAGUACAGUAGAGGGUAGUGGAAUUUCCGGUGUAGCGGUGAAAUGCGUAGAUAUCGGAAGGAACACCAGUGGCGAAGGCGGCUACCUGGACUGAUACUGACGCUGAGGCGCGAAAGCGUGGGGAGCAAACAGG